GCCCGAGCGCCCGUUUGGUGACCCCAAUGCUGAUAACCUAGAUUGCAGUCCAGCUCUGCCGUUCCCAGUUCCACCAGGCACCAAACCCAACUGCACGCAGAAUAUCGGCCAGAUUGGAGCUCGGUUUGCUCACCAUCCAUCGUGGCAUCAGCCGUUUCUCAUGUCCUGGAU
This 171-nucleotide unclassified non-coding RNA is filed under the name uncultured fungus. Its description in RNAcentral is "sequence contains ITS1". The record is from RNAcentral. Lineage: Eukaryota; Fungi.